GAUGAACGCUAGCGGCAGGCCUAACACAUGCAAGUCGAGGGGUAGAGGAAGCUUGCUUCCUUGAGACCGGCGCACGGGUGCGUAACGCGUAUGCAACCUACCUUUUACAGGGGAAUAGCCCCAGAGAAAUUUGGAUUAAUGCCCCAUGGUAUAAUCGGAUGGCAUCAUUUGAUUAUUAAAGUUCCAACGGUAAAGAUGGGCAUGCGUCCUAUUAGCUAGAUGGUAAGGUAACGGCUUACCAUGGCUACGAUAGGUAGGGGUCCUGAGAGGGAGAUCCCCCACACUGGUACUGAGACACGGACCAGACUCCUACGGGAGGCAGCAGUGAGGAAUAUUGGACAAUGGGCGCAAGCCUGAUCCAGCCAUGCCGCGUGCAGGAUGACGGUCCUAUGGAUUGUAAACUGCUUUUUGUACAGGAAGAAACACUACUUCGUGAAGUAGCUUGACGGUACUGUAAGAAUAAGGAUCGGCUAACUCCGUGCCAGC
This 486-nucleotide ribosomal RNA is filed under the name uncultured bacterium. RNAcentral describes it as "bacterial SSU rRNA". It matches the Rfam family "Bacterial small subunit ribosomal RNA", at positions 28 to 512 of the family's 1533-position model. The record is from RNAcentral.